RNAcentral lists this ribosomal RNA (334 nucleotides) under Parethusa sp. YWS-2008. Its description in RNAcentral is "partial 12S ribosomal RNA". The record is from RNAcentral. Lineage: Eukaryota; Metazoa; Arthropoda; Malacostraca; Decapoda; Ethusidae.
UUCUUAAAAUUUAAAAGAUUUGGCGGUAAUUUAGUCUUGUCAGGGGAACCCGUUUUUUAAUCGAUACUACACGAAGAAUCUUACUUAAUUUUAUAGUUUGUAUACCUUCAUUAUCAGAUAAUUUUUAGAAAAUAAAAUUAUUAUUUAAGUUUAAUUCAGUAAAAUUAGAUCAAGGUGCAGCCAAUAAUUAAGUUAAAAUAGGUUACAAUAAAAUUUAUUUAUAACGAAAAAUUUUAUGAAAAUUAAAUUAGAAGGAGGAUUUGAUUGUAUUUUAGUUUUAAUAAGACUGAUAGAUAUAAGCUCUAAAUUAUGUACACAUCGCCCGUCGCUCUUA